This 488-nucleotide ribosomal RNA is filed under the name uncultured bacterium. Its description in RNAcentral is "bacterial SSU rRNA". It matches the Rfam family "Bacterial small subunit ribosomal RNA", at positions 28 to 517 of the family's 1533-position model. The record is from RNAcentral.
GAUGAACGCUAGCGGCAGGCUUAACACAUGCAAGUCGAGGGGUAUAGUUCUUCGGAAUUAGAGACCGGCGCACGGGUGCGUAACGCGUAUGCAAUCUACCUUUCACAGAGGGAUAGCCCAGAGAAAUUUGGAUUAAUACCUCAUAGUAUAAUACCUUGGCAUCAAGGAAUUAUUAAAGUCACAACGGUGAAAGAUGAGCAUGCGUCCCAUUAGCUAGUUGGUAAGGUAACGGCUUACCAAGGCGACGAUGGGUAGGGGUCCUGAGAGGGAGAUCCCCCACACUGGUACUGAGACACGGACCAGACUCCUACGGGAGGCAGCAGUGAGGAAUAUUGGACAAUGGGCGCAAGCCUGAUCCAGCCAUGCCGCGUGCAGGAUGAAGCAUCUAUGGUGUGUAAACUGCUUUUGUACGAGAAGAAACACUCCUUCGUGAAGGGGCUUGACGGUAUCGUAAGAAUAAGGNUCGGCUAACUCCGUGCCAGCAGCCG